This 449-nucleotide ribosomal RNA is filed under the name uncultured bacterium. RNAcentral describes it as "partial 16S ribosomal RNA". It matches the Rfam family "Bacterial small subunit ribosomal RNA", at positions 354 to 796 of the family's 1533-position model. The record is from RNAcentral.
GUCGAGAAUAAUUCACAAUGGGGGAAACCCUGAUGGUGCAACGCCGCGUGGAGGAUAAGGUCUUCGGAUUGUAAACUCCUGUCAUGCGUGAACAAGGUUGCUUGGUUAAUACCUGGGCAAAUUGAUGGUAACGCAAGAGGAAGAGACGGCUAACUCUGUGCCAGCAGCCGCGGUAAUACAGAGGUCUCAAGCGUUGUUCGGAAUCACUGGGCGUAAAGGGUGCGUAGGUGGCGUGGUAAGUCAGAUGUGAAAGCCCGGGGCUCAACCUCGGAACUGCAUCCGAUACUGCCAUGCUAGAGUACUGGAGAGGUGACUAGAAUUCUCGGUGUAGCAGUGAAAUGCGUAGAUAUCGAGAGGAAUACCAAAGGCGUAGGCAGGUCACUGGACAGUUACUGACACUGAGGCACUAAGGCCAGGGGAGCGAACGGGAUUAGAUACCCUUGUAGUCC